AUCCAGAGAGGAAACAUCGGGGCUGUACCCGUGGACUCAAGGACUCAGCUCUGCCCUGCGGUGGGCACGCAGAUGGACAUAGCCUCGACGGGUGGACGUGGUUGUGGGCGCGUGACAUGCUGGAUCAUGACACGCCAACGUGGAAGUCCUUGACGGUGAGAACCUGGAGCCAUCGUCGCCGGGUGAGACGGAAGGGACACCGCCAUGCUUUGCGCGCGGCAGUUUCAAGGCGCAGAAGGCAAACGGGAUGCCCACGUGAAACCAUGCUGCAGCAGUGCCCGCAAAUGUGCCCGGGCUCGCACAGGAUUCCGACGUGGCAAGUCCCAGAGGAGCCAGAGACACACAGAAUGAGGUUUCUCCUGAGCAGGAAGCGUGCCCGUGAGCAACCAGCUGAGAAGUCGACCCAUCACGUGUGAAANAGGGAGCGAUCCAGGUUCCCUGCCCAGCGGGUGCUCUGCCUCCCUAGUUCCGGAGGCUGGACUUUCAAGACCUGCUGAGAGCCAUCUUCCUGGUUCAUCAAUGGACAUUCUCUCCAUCAGGACGGAGACAAGACAGUUCCUUCUUACCCGUGAGAGAUACAUGUAUUGUCCAUGACUCCGCAGGAAAUUGAUUUCCCGAACCCGAUGCAGAGAUGGGGAAGGGGGGAGCCAAAAGAAGGGUUUGCUGUCCAGCUUUGGCGCCGGAGGAAAAGUCAGCCCCCAGAAGCUAAGCACUGAGAAGUCCAGUCUUCCACAUCCAGGGGUUUCCAGAUUCCCACUCGUGUAAGAAAUGCAGCGUGAUGUCCCAGUUUUCGUGUUUUUCUUGAGAUGUGGUCCUCUUGGAGGAGCUUCCCCUGCCAGGAUGGAAUUUCAGAGCUCUCGGCUCGAGAAGAAGGGAAAUGCCCCAAACAGCCACCCCCCAGCCCCCUUGUGGCCACUGAGAAGUUGGGGAGGAUGCAGCCACAAAGGAGGAUGUGAAAAGUAGGCGCGAUUGCAAGGCACGAAUCUCGGAAUCUUCGUGUUUCAUCAGGAAGGCAGAGGAGGAAGGAAUCUGCGAGGUGCAGCCGCCUCUUCUGACCUCAGGAUGGACGGAGAGGGCGUGAAGGACCCGUCAGUGACCAGCUGUUGCACAGAGAGCCCAGGGGAAGGGGGUGCCCUGGCGGGCACAUGGGAACCGAUGCUGCGGCUCACGAGAAGUUGGAGGAACAAACUGCUUUGUCCCAGGAGAAGAGGAGCAGGAUGGAACGGACGCCCGCUGUAAUCGUGGGCGGAACCGGAGGGACGGAUGCAACGCUUGGCGCUUCCGAUUCUGACAUUGGCUGACGUCACGGGAGAUGGAUGGGGGAGGGUCCAGAUGUUUCGAUGAGGAAACGGAGGCCACUAAGUGUUGUGUAACGUCCCAAGGGGACCCAGCUCUGAAGCGGUGGAGUCAGAAUGGAUUGCUUAACAGCCACCCCCACCCUCGGCUCGGAAGACGUCCACACCCAGGUAUGAAAAUGCCCUGUGGGAGUGUCUGUUGCUGCUCAGUGGGUUAAGAACCCAACAUAGCGUCCGUCCAAGGGAUGCGGGUUUGAUCCCUGGCCUCCCUUGGCGAAUUAAGGAUCUGGUGUUGCUACAGGCUGUGGUGUAGGUCACAGGUGCGUCUCGGAGCCUGUGUUGCGGUGGCUGUGGUGUAGACUGGCAGCUGCAGCACUGAUUCGACCCCUAGCUCGGGAACUUCCAUGUGCUGCGGGGGCGGCCCUGAAAACAAAAUAAAAAAGAAAGAAAGCAAAUGCCCUGUGGAAUGACCGCAUGAUAGUGACACAGUCUCGUGGCCUUUCUCUUGGGAACAGGCACACCUCUUUCCGAGCCACCUAAGUUCCUGCCUCUUGACUUUCUAGACACCCUUAACUGUUUAAAGGGGGGAGAACAAAAGAAGACAAAGCAAAUGCUCCUUUUUUGGGUCCUUUUUAAAACGUUUAUUGACAUAGAGCUGAUUUAUCAGCUUGUGAUCAUCUCCGCAAUACAACAAACUCACGAGCUCUUGUUAUUUGUAGACUUUUUGAUGAUGGCCAUUCUGACUGGUGCAAGGUGGUCCCUCAGUGUAACUUUGAUUCGCAUUUCUCUAAUAAUAAGCGGUGGGGAGCAUCCUUUCAUGUGCUUGUUGUUCUUUGGAGAAAGGUCUGUUCAGGUCUUCUGCCCAUCUUUUGAUUGGGUUGUUUGGCUUUUUUGAUAUCGAGCUUCACGGGUUGUUUGUGCCUUUUGGAGAUUAGUCCCUUGUGUGUCACUUCAUUUGCAAAUGUUUUCAGCCAUUUUGUGAGUGGCCUUUUUGUUUCGUCUGAUUUCCUUGGCUGUGCAAAUGUGUUUAAGUUUAUUUAGGUCCCAUGUGUUUCUGUUUUUAUUUUCAUUACUCUAAGCAGUGGAUCCAAAAAGAAAUUGCUGCAGAUUAUGUCAAAGAAUGUUCUGCCUCUCUUCUCCUCCAGGAGUUUAAUCAUAUCUGGUCUUACAUUUAGGUCUUUAAUCCAUUUUGAGUUUAUUUUCCUGUAUGAUAUUAGAGAAAGCUGGGAGUUCCUGUCGGGGUGCAGUGGAACUGAAUCCGACUAGGAACCGUGAGGUUGCAGAUUCGAUCCCUGGCCUCGCUCAGUGGGUUAAGGAUCUGGUGUGGCCGUGAGCUGUGGUGUAGGUCGCAGACAUGGCUUGGAUCUGGCAUUGCUGUGACUCUGGCAUAGGAGGGCAGCUAUACCUCCAAUUAGACCCAUAGCCUGGGAACCUCCAUGUGCUGCGGUGCGGUCCUAAAAAGACGGAAAGACAGAGAAUGCUAUCAUUUCAUUCUUUUGCAUGGAGCUGUCCAGUUUUCCCAGCACCACUUAUUGAAGAGCCUGUCUUUUCUCCAUUGUAUAUUCUUGCCUCCUUUGUCAUAAAUUAAUUGUCCGUAGGUGUGCGGGUUUAUCCUGUUCCAUUAAUCCACAUUUCUGAUUUGCGUCAGUGCCAUACUGUUUUGAUGACUCUAGUUUUGUGAUAUAAUCUGAUGUCAGGGAGCCUGAUUCCCCCGGUUCUGUUUCUUUUUCAGGAUGGCUUUGGCUGUUUGGGCUCUUAUGUGUUUCCAUAUAAAUUUAAAAAUAUUUUGUUCUAGUUCUGUUAAAAAAUGUCAAGGCAAUCUACAGUCUCAAUUCAUUAGUUUCUUAGAUCCGAGGCACAGGUCCAUAAAUGCCUAACAACAGAGACAGACCAGCAAAAUGUUCAUGCAGUUUAGAUUCUGAGAACUUGACUUGUGUUUUUAUUCUAGGUUUUGAUUCAUAUUUUUUCAAAAAAUCAGAGUUUAGAAUUUGUGACAAGUUGGCAGAGUUCUGUUGUGGCUCAGUGUGUUACGAAUCUGACUAGUAUCCCUGAGGACACAGGUUCAAUCCCUGGCCUUGCUCAGUGGGUCAAGGAUCCUGCAUUGCCAUGAGCUGUGGUGUAGGUCACAGAUGCUCUCUGGAUCUGGCGUUGCUGUGGUUAGUAUAGGCUGGCAGCUGCAGCUCUGAUUCAGCCUAUGAACGUCCAUGUGCUGAGGGUGCAGCCCUAGGGGAAAAAAAAAAAGAAUUUGGGACAAGUCGGGAUGGGUCAUGAAGGAAAAGACCCCACAGUCUAUAUCUAGCACACAGCAGGGUUGCCAUGCAGAAGACAGCAUUGUCAGCAUAGAGAUUCAGUUAAAAAAUGGAGGUUUUGAGAAACUCUCUCUCUGCUCACUCAGGAGUGUUAUCCUGAGACAGAUCCCAAAG
This 3718-nucleotide long non-coding RNA is filed under the name Sus scrofa (pig). RNAcentral describes it as "lncRNA (ENSSSCG00040030040.1)". The record is from RNAcentral. Lineage: Eukaryota; Metazoa; Chordata; Mammalia; Artiodactyla; Suidae.